GAAACUUCUAGUUCGAAAUGCCUUCCUCCUGGUUCUUCUCCAGCCAUCCCUAAACAGAGCCUGUCACUUGGAGAAGAAGAGAUGGCCAGCUGUGAGCGUCUGCAGUGCCCCCAGGAACCCCACUCAUUCCUGACGGCUGGGAUUUUCACUGACCAUUUGAGAAGGAGCUUACGCACGUAUAGAAGCUCAAGGAAAGUUUGUGUGUGUUUUUAAUUUAGUCUGUGGUCAAUGGCUUUUAAAAAGUUCCAAAUAAUGAUGAUCAUGUACUGAGUGCCCAUAUACGAGGCAAUGUAAAGUGUGCAUUGCACUUUUGGUGCACUGUUCAUUUACUCUUUGUAAACGUUAUGGGGUAGAAAUUAUAUCAUCAUCAUCAUCAUCAUCAUCAUCAUCUGUUUUAGAGAUGAGACUAAUGAGGCUUACAAGGGUAAUGCAGCUUGCUCCAAACCUUACAGUUAAUAAAGUCCCAGAACCAGGAUUCAAACCCAGGCCAGUGUGGAGCAGUUCGAUCAGGCACUGUUGAUUAGUGCCUGCAUGCUACAGCCAUUCCCUCUGUUUUAUGCUUGGCUUGUCUUUGGACAGCUGGUCUCUGGGGACCUGUGCCACUCUACUGUGCUACAACUAUGCAGUCUUACCACUGAAAACCCAUUAAUCUAAAGACCGAUUCUUCUAAAACCAUAUUCACCGUAUAUCUAAAAAGAGCAUUUUGUUUUUGUUUUGCGUUGGUGUUUGUUUAUUUGUCUUGACUCUCCCGUAAGAGCAAAACAUCUAAAUCUGUUCUUGUUACAUGUUAGGUGUUAGGGAUACCUCCACGUCUUUUUCAUCCCGGCGUCUUGUAGAGCCAGCCUUCUCCUUCCCCAGGCCACUAGGUAUUUCUGCUUUAUGACCAGACAUUGUCUCGUUUUAUAAACACGGCUGCUGCUCAGAAGUUCUCCACACCUUUGUUUCCUGGAAGAGGAAAUGACAUUUCCUGGAGCGGACUACAUGUGGGCGGUGAGGUUCUACUCAUUGUGUGAAACACACUCAGACUUUUGGUUGUGUACUUCAGUGUCUGCCCUAAAGUUUCCUGGAAUGAUGCUCAGGACAGACUGUGGUGUGGUUUCACCUUAGCCGGAAGAGGUAUGAUCCCUGCUUUGGAUCCAGAGCGAAGAAAUAAACGACAUCAAGAAUCCUAUCGCUGGAGAGAUCACAGUCCAUCUUCCUUCAACUUGGAAUCUGCAAAAGGGAGCCUGAGACACCACCUCGCUUUUAUUUUGGACCCAGCUGGCGAUUAUCUUCUACUUCCCGAAGAGGCCACUUCCUGCACCUUCCAUCACGGAUUUAGGAUAGAAACUAAAGAGACGAUGUCCUCAUUAUGAGCCUCGAUUCAGAGAAAGAAGAAAGUCACCACUCAGAGGGACACCAGUUUGGAUAAUUUCAUGAGGGGUUUGGCUGCCCAGCUGUCACUUUGCCAAAGGCCUGGCCGAGAUUGGUUUUAAAGUGGUCUUCCUGAAUCUCCAGAAGAAUCAGCGUGGUGUUAGACGACCAUGAUCUUCCCUACCCAGAGGCCUGAGAAACAUGUUGAGUCUUGCAUAAAUUUAUUCAGAAAAUGUCAAAAUUAUUCUAGAAGCUGUAGGUGAAAGUGACAGAGGCAAGAUGAAAAACAGGUAUUUUAAAUUCACAGCUUGGACAAGGGAAAGGGAGAUUUCUUGUUUCCCCUAGUCAAUCUAACUUUAUGCAUUCAGACGGGGAAAAAGGAUAAUUAGAAGCUAGAAAUUGUUAUUGCAUGAAGGGAGCUGUAAACAUGGAAGCCGAAAUUGGCUCUCCCCCAGGGGAGCAAAUAAACCUUGAUUCCUACUCAUAAUAAGAUUGACACCAACUCUUCCAAAUCAGGAAGGGGAAGGGUCAAUACAGAUUUUAUCCUGAGCUUAAAAGGCAGCAGUGUUCAUAAUGUAUUUUUUUUAAAGGUCCUAUGUUGUUAUGUAUGCCUGGUGAUGUUAAGCUAGUUUUUAGAUCUCACACAAGGUAUGGGAGUAGGUAUUAUGUCUUCAUUUAAGAAAGAGAUGAUGAGUGACCCAAUUUUAGGUGGCUAAUAUUUUUUGUGCAUUUAUGACACGUGCCAUGGCAUGGUGUUGAAUACUUUAAUUAUUUCAUUUGACUGUGACAAUGAAUCCCCCAAGAUGGGGAAUAUCCCCUUCACUUGGCAGAUGUGACAUCUGAGGCUUAGCGAUCAAACAAAUGACUUGCCAGGCUGUCACAAUGAGUGGUGGGGUGUGGCUUGACCCCCGGUCUGUUGACCCCAGAUUCAGGACCUUUGCCAUUAUAUACACGGAAACAAGACAAGAGCUGAAAUUACAGCCUGCCUCUUGGAACAGUAAAGUCAGUUGUGUGUGUUUAUGGAUAUCCCAACUAACAAGGUA
Molecule: long non-coding RNA, 2396 nt
Organism: Neofelis nebulosa (Clouded leopard)
Lineage: Eukaryota; Metazoa; Chordata; Mammalia; Carnivora; Felidae
Exons: 2
Source: RefSeq, a predicted model, not a curated record